GUGGGGAAUAUUGGACAAUGGGUGCAAGCCUGAUCCAGCCAUGCCGCGUGAGUGAUGAAGGCCUUAGGGUUGUAAAGCUCUUUUGUCCGGGAAGAUAAUGACUGUACCGGAAGAAUAAGCCCCGGCUAACUUCGUGCCAGCAGCCGCGGUAAUACGAAGGGGGCUAGCGUUGUUCGGAAUCACUGGGCGUAAAGCGCACGUAGGCGGACCAUUAAGUCAGGGGUGAAAGCCUGGAGCUCAACUCCAGAACUGCCUUUGAUACUGAUGGUCUCGAGUAUGGAAGAGGUUGGUGGAACUGCGAGUGUAGAGGUGAAAUUCGUAGAUAUUCGCAAGAACACCGGUGGCGAAGGCGGCCAACUGGUCCAUUACUGACGCUGAGGUGCGAAAGCGUGGGGAGCAAACAGGAUUAGAUACCCCAGUAGUCC
Molecule: ribosomal RNA, 425 nt
Filed under: uncultured bacterium
Lineage: Bacteria
Description: partial 16S ribosomal RNA
Rfam family: Bacterial small subunit ribosomal RNA
Source: RNAcentral